RNAcentral lists this non-coding RNA (31 nucleotides) under Mus musculus (house mouse). The record is from RNAcentral. Lineage: Eukaryota; Metazoa; Chordata; Mammalia; Rodentia; Muridae.
CAAGCUCAUAAACGCUGUCCGAGCAGGUGUC